GCAGUCGACGGGAUCUUCGGAUCCGUGGCGCACGGGUGAGUAACGCGUAGGGACCUAUCCUGGAGUGGGGGAUAACUGCUGGAAACGGCAGCUAAUACCGCAUACUCCCCCUGAGGGAACUUGGGGGGCAAAGGUUUCGGCCGCUUUUGGAGGGCCCUGCGUCCGAUUAGCUUGUUGGUGGGGUAACGGCCUACCAAGGCUGCGAUCGGUAGCUGGUCUGAGAGGAUGAUCAGCCACACUGGGACUGAGACACGGCCCAGACUCCUACGGGAGGCAGCAGUGGGGAAUAUUGGACACUGGGGGAAACCCUGAUCCAGCCAUGCCGCGUGAGUGAAGAAGGCCUUAGGGUUGUAAAGCUCUUUCACCUGCGACGAUGAUGACGGUAGCAGGAGAAGAAGCCCCGGCUAACUCCGUGCCAGCAGCCGCGGUAAUACGGAGGGGGCUAGCGUUGUUCGGAAUCACUGGGCGUAAAGCGCGCGUAGGCGGCGGAUCAAGUUAGGCGUGAAAGGCCUGGGCUCAACCUGGGAACUGCGCUUGAUACUGGUUUGCUGGAGUCCGGGAGAGGGUGGUGGAAUUCCAAGUGUAGAGGUGAAAUUCGUAGAUAUUUGGAGGAACACCGGUGGCGAAGGCGGCCACCUGGCCCGGCACUGACGCUGAGGCGCGAAAGCGUGGGGAGCAAACAGG
RNAcentral lists this ribosomal RNA (684 nucleotides) under uncultured bacterium. RNAcentral describes it as "bacterial SSU rRNA". It matches the Rfam family "Bacterial small subunit ribosomal RNA", at positions 57 to 776 of the family's 1533-position model. The record is from RNAcentral.